Molecule: ribosomal RNA, 529 nt
Filed under: uncultured bacterium
Lineage: Bacteria
Description: bacterial SSU rRNA
Rfam family: Bacterial small subunit ribosomal RNA
Source: RNAcentral
GAUCCUGGCUCAGGACGAACGCUGGCGGCGUGCCUAAUACAUGCAAGUCGAGCGGACAGAAGGGAGCUUGCUCCCGGAUGUUAGCGGCGGACGGGUGAGUAACACGUGGGUAAAACCUGCCUGUAAAAGACUGGGAUAACUCCGGGAAACCGGAGCUAAUACCGGAUAGUUCCUUGAACCGCAUGGUUCAAGGAUGAAAGACGGUUUCGGCUGUCACUUACAGAUGGACCGCGGCGCAUUAGCUAGUUGGUGAGGUAACGGCUCACCAAGGCGACGAUGCGUAGCCGACCUGAGAGGGUGAUCGGCCACACUGGGGACUGAGACACGGCCCAGACUCCUACGGGAGGCAGCAGUAGGGAAUCUUCCGCAAUGGACGAAAGUCUGACGGAGCAACGCCGCGUGAGUGAUGAAGGUUUUCGGAUCGUAAAGCUCUGUUGUUAGGGAAGAACAAGUGCAAGAGUAACUGCUUGCACCUUGACGGUACCUAACCAGAAAGCCACGGCUAACUACGUGCCAGCAGCCGCGGUAA